UUAUUAAGCAUCAGCACAUGCACUGAAAUUAGAAUGUUAACAGCGAAGACUAACAUGACCCCUGUGCAAAGAUGGCAUUCAAAUCCAUGAAGCAUUCCACUUAAAA
This 106-nucleotide small nuclear RNA is filed under the name Nannospalax galili (Upper Galilee mountains blind mole rat). Lineage: Eukaryota; Metazoa; Chordata; Mammalia; Rodentia; Spalacidae. The record is from RNAcentral.